Molecule: long non-coding RNA, 1784 nt
Filed under: Equus caballus (horse)
Lineage: Eukaryota; Metazoa; Chordata; Mammalia; Perissodactyla; Equidae
Description: lncRNA (ENSECAG00000045275.1)
Source: RNAcentral
CGUGGGGUUCAGCCCUGCCACGGGGGCUUGUCCUGCUUUCGUGCGACACCGAAAAACGGGCAUCGCGAGCUCGCUAGAUCCGGCUGCCGACCUGCCCUUCCUUCCAUGCCUGGAGGUGCCUUCGUUCCCUUUGUGAGACCACCACCCUGGAGGACACCGAUCUCCCCAAACUGGACUCAUUGAUUACUGUGUGCUGUGCUCUGUACUAAGUCCCUUGCAGCCAAUAUCACCUUUAGCAAAACUAAAGUCCCUGUAAUGGUCACAGAGAAUCUGAGCUGGCGAAUUGAGUGUGAACAUAGCCCGCCACAGCAAUAUUGCUGCCUAAUAAGUUGAUUGAUCGGUAUGAAGCAAGAGCAUACUGACCUUUGUUGCUUUCUUUUGCUGUAAUACUGAUAAAAUGUCCACCAUGAUGAAUAUGAGAGUAUAUAUUUUCUAGUGGUUUUGUCUUUGUGGAUGACCUCAGGCCAGCAGACUGGCAGCAGGAGCCAUGCCGAGAGCAGAGGAACCAUGCUGGGUAGCACGGCCAGCUCAUCCUCUAAGCCCAGAGCCCAGCUUGCAACAGAAGUAGAUGAGGUAUGAUGAGAACAGAACAGGUGUUCUCAAAAAAAGAUGUAACUUUUAAAAACUUGGAGACUGAAGAUCACAAUGGAUCAUCAAAAAAUGCAAAAGUAUCAGUCAUAUCUGGAGCCCAUGUUGGAAAAUAUCAAGAAGAGAGGAAGGACAAGGAGAUUUAUUUGAUGUAGCAAGUUCAGAGAGGGAUUCAGGAACAUCAGAGAAGAAUUUGAAAAGCGUGAUCCGGAAAAAAGUAGUCAAGGUUGGAAAGGAAGAUGUCAUUUCAGUCCUGAAAAAGUUUGACUUGCAUCUGAAGGACGAAUAUUUUGACGAUUUCCUGAAGAGAUGCGACCUUCUAAACAGUCUGACUGGCCGUAGGAAUUUGGAUACCUGAGAAACAUCCAGGAUGGCAGCGAUGAAGGGACCACGCGCAGUCCUCUCCAAGCCCGUGCGCAGGUUGCACGGACCCUCUAUAUUGUUACUGCUAGUCUUCUAAUCAGCUAUCUCCUACCAGACCCGUUGAUAAACACAAAGGACGGUCCUCACCUUUGUGGUGCCCUGUCCUCCUGGAGACCUUGCCAUUAAUGGACAAGGGCAGCCUGGUCCAGAGACGGUCCAUGAGAAGUUGGCCUUGGGAAACAAAAGUGCUACAGGAAUGAACCUACUCUGUAUUGUUACUAAAACCGUUAGUGUUAUUGUUAUUAAAAUUACUUUCAUUUAAGAACCAGUGUGCUUUCUCUGGCUGAGGAGGUUACCAAAGUGCACAGGAGGAGACAGAAGUGCCAAUGUGAUAUGACUCACUUCCCCCUGAACAACUCCUUAAUUUUCCCAGUGCCACUCUUUAUUUUUAGCUUUGGCCUUCUGCAACACUUGACCUUUUGCCUGGAUGGAGCAAUGUACUGUGGAGCUCAAACCCACAGCCAUCCCUGUCCUGUGCUAUGUAGGGGAUGUACGCGUUAGAUUAUGUCUUCUUUGGAAGAUUAUGCAAUCCAGAAUGGUCUUUUAGGACAAAGUAAACUGUUUAUAGUUCACACACACACACACACACGUCCCUUUGGUAACAUUGCCUUGCACGUCUGGAUUGUAAUCGUGUCUUUAACAUCUCCUCUGUCAUCUGCUGCAAGAGAUAAGUAUAAUUUUUAACAUUUGUGAAUGUAUUUUAAAAAUGUGGAUAAGGAUUUUGUAUCAAAAUAUUCAUCCCACUUGGUUUAGAAUAACAAAAACUUGGAAAC